Molecule: ribosomal RNA, 330 nt
Filed under: uncultured bacterium
Lineage: Bacteria
Description: bacterial SSU rRNA
Rfam family: Bacterial small subunit ribosomal RNA
Source: RNAcentral
UCCGUAGGCGGUGUGGCAAGUCGGUAGUGAAAUCUCUCGGCUUAACUGAGAGGCUGCUGCCGAAACUGCUGUGCUGGAGUGCGAGAGAGGCGAGUGGAAUUGCGGGUGUAGCGGUGAAAUGCGUAGAUAUCCGCAGGAACAUCCGAGGCGAAAGCGGCUCGCUGGAUCGCAACUGACGCUGAGGGACGAAAGCUAGGGGAGCAAACAGGAUUAGAUACCCUGGUAGUCCUAGCCCUAAACCAUCAGGACUUGGGGUUUGCCCUGUACGGGGCAAGUCCCGGAGCUAACGCGUUAAGUCCUGCGCCUGGGGAGUACGGUCGCAAGGCUGAA